UACGGGAGGCAGCAGUAGGGAAUCUUCCGCAAUGGGCGAAAGCCUGACGGAGCAACGCCGCGUGAGUGAAGAAGGAUUUCGGUUCGUAAAGCUCUGUUGUUAGGGAAGAAUGAUUGUGUAGUAACUAUACACAGUAGAGACGGUACCUAACCAGAAAGCCACGGCUAAAUACGUGCCAGCAGCCGCGGUAAUACGUAGGUGGCAAGCGUUGUCCGGAAUUAUUGGGCGUAAAGCGCGCGCAGGUGGUUUAAUAAGUCUGAUGUGAAAGCCCACGGCUCAACCGUGGAGGGUCAUUGGAAACUGUUAAACUUGAGUGCAGGAGAGAAAAGUGGAAUUCCUAGUGUAGCGGUGAAAUGCGUAGAGAUUAGGAGGAACACCAGUGGCGAAGGCGGCUUUUUGGCCUGUAACUGACACUGAGGCGCGAAAGCGUGGGGAGCAAACAGGAUUAGAUACCCUGGUAGUCCACGCCGUAAACGAUGAGUGCUAAGUGUUGG
RNAcentral lists this ribosomal RNA (494 nucleotides) under uncultured bacterium. Its description in RNAcentral is "bacterial SSU rRNA". It matches the Rfam family "Bacterial small subunit ribosomal RNA", at positions 340 to 826 of the family's 1533-position model. The record is from RNAcentral.